GGGGGCAAUGGGGGAGGGGAGGGCACAGAGGAGUCUCAGACUGUAGCCUGCACCCACAGCCACGGGCACCCUAGCUAACGGUCAAUAAGCAACUGGAUUUUUAGCUGAAGUCUUGUGUCUGCUCUCAAAAGGAGGAAGCGGUUCCUUGGACAGUCAGUGUGUGUCACAAGAGUGUAAACUGCCUACUCAGCAUUAACUCUCUCCUUGUUCUUCGUGUUCACAUUCCUAAUUUUGUUUGAGGCAGCAAUAGCACAACAACAAACAGGCGCAUUCCAGUACCGGGAAGGUGCUAUUCAGUGGUACAGGACUCCAAGGGGCGGCUCAGUAAAGCAGAGGUUACUGGUGAAACCAGGAUUUGGUCUGAGUGUUAUCUUAUGCCGAAGCCAGUGUCCUUUCCAUCCCGCUGUGAAGACUGCAUAAUGUACACAAAGUGCUUUGCAUGGCGUCUGAUGUGGAGAAGGGCUCAGUGCACCGCGGCUGUAACGAGAAUACGCUUUCCCUGGUUUUGGCUGAGAAGUAUGAUUUCCAUGGAGCAGGAGACGCUGCACAGCAGGACUAAGUUGCAUUUAAUUCAUGCCAUGAAGUUUGCCUUCUUCGGCUAGAGUGUUUGUAAAGCCACAAGGGGGCUGUGAAUACUCACGGACUUAUCUGGAAUAUCAUCGACUCGUCCAAAAUGUGUUUCUUUCCUUUGCCUUUUUAAUUCUCUUCCCCUUCUUUCCUUUCCUUCUCUCCCAGUCAAAGGAUGCAGAGUUUUAACUCUCAGCUCAAAAAAACCAAACAUGAAGUGGGAGAGAAAAGCAUUUAACUAGAGUGUCAAAUCAGUGGAAAAGAACAAUAAAGAGAUAUGAUAUUCUUCUUUGCUUUCCUGAAUGAUACUUUAAGAGAUAUCUCUUUAUAAAAUUUCAAAAACCUGAACCUGGAAAUAGACCUAAGCAACCGCACGCCAGAAUCCCACCAUCUUAAUGUGUUUUAGCCAACCCUCUUCCAAUCUUUCCCCAUAUGCCUUUUUUUGAAACGUAGAUGCAAAAUGGAAGAUAGAUAUCUUUGUACGUUUUCUUGUAGCAUGUUGCUAAAUUAAAAAUAGAUAUACCAAAGCCAUGAAAAGACAUGGAGUAAGCUUAAAUGAAGAUUGCCAAGUGAAAGAAGCCAGUCUGAAAAGGCUUCAUGCCGUAUGAUUCCAAUUAUAUGGCGCUCUGGCAAACGCAAAACUAUGCAGACAGUCAAAUCACAGGAAUUUUUUCUUUCACAGGAUCGUGGACACAGACGUUUGUGACAUUUGUGAUCCG
This is a non-coding RNA of Equus caballus (horse), 1286 nucleotides long. The record is from RefSeq and is a predicted model, not a curated record. NCBI's taxonomy places the organism in Eukaryota, Metazoa, Chordata, Mammalia, Perissodactyla, Equidae.